CCGUCGUCCUUGGCCAGGGUGAGACUACACGGUCCGGCUGCCCCUCCCUCCCUCACUGCUCGCACAAGGGGAAACACGCGCCAGGAGGAGCUGUCUUAUUACCUAAAGCUGUGCCUUAUUUUAACUACAACAAAGCAACCAUCCUCCGCCUUUUUGACUCAGUGGACGUAUAUCCUCGUGCUUCUCAAGGAUGGCACGUCACAUCCUGCCUUUGGUGCUGCUAGUGGUGGCUCUGGUGGUGAGACUCAUCCUGUCAGCGCCCAUAGACGAGGACGUGGAAGUCAACAGUAUCCACCACUCGUUUGAUAGUGAGAGGGUGGCGUCCUCCAUAUUCAACAACAUCGCCAACAUACCAUGCAGGCGUAAAUGCUAUAUCCGGGAUUACCAUGGUCGCUGCCGCCGUAACUUCUCCUGCCUCAUGGGUUGAAGAAAAACAUCUCAUGUCUUUCCUACUUUUUCUUCUUCCUCACUUUCUUCAUCUUUUUUACUAUCUUUCUCUUCUUCACUAUCUUCCUCUUGUGUUCACUUCUUCCUCUUCUUCACUAUCUUCCUUUCUUCACUUUUUCUUAUUCUGUAUCAUGUUCCUUUCUUUCUCAUCUUCACAUUGACUUUCUUUACAUUCCUCUUCUUCAUCAACCUUUACUUUAAUUUCCUCAUCAUUAUUAUUUUCUUUACUUUCAUUGACUAUUAGUUUAUCAUCUUUAGUUUUCCCUACGUCGCUUUCCUUUUUAUCACUUUGCCCUUCACCUUGUACUCUACAUCUUUGUCACCUUCACCGGCAUCUUCUCUGACGUCAUCUUCGCCCUCUUACCUAUACCACCUUUUCUUCCCUAAGCUAUCAGAAAAAAAAAUCACCAUUCUGAAACUGUCCACUCAUGGGAUCGACACCUUGAAGCUCUCUCUCGGGACUUCAAUACAGAUCACUAGGCUGAAGUUAUUCUCUUGGAACUUCAUCACUCAGAACGUGCAAAAGUUCAACUCCUUGAAUUUCAUCGACCCUCGGAACUUCACCACUCAGAAGUUUACUUAUUGAAGCUUCACCACACAGGUCAUCACUGCUAAUAGUAGAUAAACAUAACUGCUAUUUUUUCUAAAUCAAUUCUUGUUAUCUAAAUUUGUUUAACUUGUGUCAUUCUAUGUAGAUAAUCAUAAUUGGUACCUUAGUUGAGUUAAGGUUAAUGUAUUUCAAUAAUAACAAGUCAGAAUGAA
Long non-coding RNA from Homarus americanus (American lobster), 1209 nucleotides. RefSeq lists it as uncharacterized. Lineage: Eukaryota; Metazoa; Arthropoda; Malacostraca; Decapoda; Nephropidae. The record is from RefSeq and is a predicted model, not a curated record. The transcript has 3 exons.